This 257-nucleotide ribosomal RNA is filed under the name uncultured bacterium. RNAcentral describes it as "partial 16S ribosomal RNA". It matches the Rfam family "Bacterial small subunit ribosomal RNA", at positions 521 to 776 of the family's 1533-position model. The record is from RNAcentral.
UAAGACGAACCAAGCGAACGUUAUUCGGAAUUACUGGGCUUAAAGCGCGUGUAGGCGGAUGACCACGUCAGUCGUUGAAAUCCCCCGGCUCAACCGGGGAACAGGCGCUGAUACGAGUUGUCUGGAGGUGGGUAGGGGAGACUGGAACUUCCGGUGGAGCGGUGAAAUGCGUUGAGAUCGGAAGGAACGCCCGCGGCGAAAGCGAGUCUCUGGACCCAUUCUGACGCUGAGACGCGAAAGCCAGGGGAGCAAACGGG